GACGAACGCUGGCGGCGUGCUUAACACAUGCAAGUCGAACGAAGUGGCGAACGGGAGAGUAACGCGUAAUCAACCUGCCCUUCAGAGGGGGACAACAGUUGGAAACGACUGCUAAUACCGCAUACUGAAGGAGGGGAUUGCGUCUGAUUGGCUAGUUGGAGGGGUAACGGCCCACCAAGGCGAUGAGCAGUAGCCGGUGUGAGAGGAUGACCGGCCACAUUGGGACUGAGACCCUGCCCAGACUCCUACGGGAGGCAGCAGUGGGGAAUCUUCCGCAAUGGACGAAAGUCUGACGGAGCAACGCCGCGUGAGUGAUGACGGCCUUCGGGUUGUAAAGCUCUGUUAAUCGGGACGCGGUACCGGAAUAGAAAGCCACGGCUAACUACGUGCCAGCCGCCGCGGUAAUAC
RNAcentral lists this ribosomal RNA (408 nucleotides) under uncultured bacterium. Its description in RNAcentral is "partial 16S ribosomal RNA". It matches the Rfam family "Bacterial small subunit ribosomal RNA", at positions 28 to 526 of the family's 1533-position model. The record is from RNAcentral.